RNAcentral lists this ribosomal RNA (449 nucleotides) under uncultured bacterium. Its description in RNAcentral is "bacterial SSU rRNA". It matches the Rfam family "Bacterial small subunit ribosomal RNA", at positions 329 to 794 of the family's 1533-position model. The record is from RNAcentral.
AGCCAGACUCCUACGGGAGGCAGCAGUGGGGAAUAUUGCACAAUGGGGGAAACCCUGAUGCAGCGACGCCGCGUGAGUGAAGAAGUAUUUCGGUAUGUAAAGCUCUAUCAGCAGGGAAGAAAAAAGACGGUACCUGACUAAGAAGCCCCGGCUAACUACGUGCCAGCAGCCGCGGUAAUACGUAGGGGGCAAGCGUUAUCCGGAAUUACUGGGUGUAAAGGGUGCGUAGGUGGCAUGGUAAGUCAGAAGUGAAAGCCCGGGGCUUAACCCCGGGACUGCUUUUGAAACUUUCAUGCUGGAGUGCAGGAGAGGUAAGCGGAAUUCCUAGUGUAGCGGUGAAAUGCGUAGAUAUUAGGAGGAACACCAGUGGCGAAGGCGGCUUACUGGACUGUCACUGACACUGAUGCACGAAAGCGUGGGGAGCAAACAGGAUUAGAUACCCGAGUAUA